Molecule: small nuclear RNA, 164 nt
Organism: Mesocricetus auratus (golden hamster)
Lineage: Eukaryota; Metazoa; Chordata; Mammalia; Rodentia; Cricetidae
Gene: U1
Rfam family: U1 spliceosomal RNA
About the family: U1 is a small nuclear RNA (snRNA) component of the spliceosome (involved in pre-mRNA splicing).
Source: Ensembl
AUACUUACCUGGCAGGGGAGAUACCAUGAUCACAUAGGUGGUUUUCCCAGGGCGAGGCCCACCCAUUGCACUUGGGGUGUGCUGACCCCUGCGAUUUCCCCAAAUGCGGGAAACUCGACGGCAUAAUUUGUGGUAGCGGGGGACUGCGUUCGCGCGCUCCCCUG